UUGGGUGGCCAAACCUCCUUGUCAAAGUCUGAUUUUGUCAGAUCUCAGAACCUAAGCAAGGCCGGGCCUGGUUAGUACUUGGAUGGGAGCCUGCUAGGAAUUUCAAGUGCCACAGU
Molecule: ribosomal RNA, 116 nt
Filed under: Periophthalmus magnuspinnatus
Lineage: Eukaryota; Metazoa; Chordata; Actinopteri; Gobiiformes; Gobiidae
Source: RNAcentral